AUUGAACGCUGGCGGCAGGCUUAACACAUGCAAGUCGAGCGGGGUGAGGUGCUUCGGUACUGAUCCUAGCGGCGGACGGGUGAGUAAUGCUUAGGAAUCUGCCAUUUAGUGGGGGACAACAUUCCGAAAGGAAUGCUAAUACCGCAUACGUCCUACGGGCGAAAGCAGGGGAUCUUCGGACCUUGCGCUAAAUGAUGAGCCUAAGUCGGAUGAGCUAGUUGGUGGGGUAAAGGCCUACCAAGGCGACGAUCUGUAGCGGGUCUGAGAGGAUGAUCCGCCACACUGGGACUGAGACACGGCCCAGACUCCUACGGGAGGCAGCAGUGGGGAAUAUUGGACAAUGGGCGGAAACCUGAUCCAGCCAUGCCGCGUGUGUGAAGAAGGCCUUUUGGUUGUAAAGCACUUUAAGCGAGGAGGAGGCUACCUGGAUUAAUACUCUGGGAUAGUGGACGUUACUCGCAGAAUAAGCACCGGCUAACUCUGUGCCAGCAGCCGCGGUAA
This 501-nucleotide ribosomal RNA is filed under the name uncultured bacterium. RNAcentral's name for it is "partial 16S ribosomal RNA". It matches the Rfam family "Bacterial small subunit ribosomal RNA", at positions 30 to 523 of the family's 1533-position model. The record is from RNAcentral.